Molecule: long non-coding RNA, 928 nt
Organism: Mytilus californianus (California mussel)
Lineage: Eukaryota; Metazoa; Mollusca; Bivalvia; Mytilida; Mytilidae
Exons: 3
Source: RefSeq, a predicted model, not a curated record
AAAAAAAGAAAAGAAAAGAAAAAAAUGUUAUUUUGAUUAUUAAACAGUAUUUUUUGGGUUUCCCGAUUGAUAGAUAUUUAUCUUGUAUUUUUUUUUUUUUUUUAUGCUGAGUUUGUAAUGAAGCAUAAAAAUUUUUAAGAAUAUUUUGGGAAAAAUGUAUUGAUUGAUUGAUUGAUUUUUGGUGCUUAACAUCUCUUUACACAGGAUUGGCCGCCAUGGCCCAUAGGUGAAAACUAAAGUAAAAUAUGUUAUUAAAAUGUGCUGAAUUUUUGUUAUUUUUUUAUUUUUUUAAAUUUUAUUUGUGCUCUUUUAUAUUUUUGUUAAAUAUAGCAAGAAUGUGGAGUUCUAACGGUGAAAUUUUGGGCAAAGGGAAGUAAUACCCCUGUUUAACUCAUCAUUUUUUCUUCGAAAUUCCCUCAGUAAUAGGGAAUCUAACUUAUUAUGUACUUUAAUAUUGAUAUUUGUAUAAGUUUGGUGUUUUUUAAAUAUCAGAUGUAUACUUGCUAAAAUUUACUAUUAUUUAGAGCUCUGUAAAAGAAAAAAAUAUGUAAACUGAAGUCUAAAUAAUAGAUAUGUAGGGUGGGAGAUCUUAUGGUUCGGUCAUUUGGUAAAAUUUUUCAAAAAAGCUGAUUAUACAAAAGUGCAUCUGAUAUUUUUAUAUGUAUAACUUUAUUAUUAAAGAAUAACAAAUGGACAAAAAAAUAGAUUGACAAAAAGAUGAGGACAGUAACCUUGGCAGCCAGGAAAACAGCUCCAAGGAAGAUGGUCAAUUAAAUCUUAACCAAGUCUGAGGCUUUACUGUGAGAAAUAUGUUGAUGUUGUAACGACAAUGUUUUCAUAGGUGUUGGGAGUAAGACUUGGAUAUCUGAUACUGUUAACAUGUUGGUUAGCAUCACAACAUUUCCAUAGGGUUACUUGUUGCGGUUUU